Oncorhynchus keta (chum salmon) is the source of this 1003-nucleotide long non-coding RNA. RefSeq lists it as uncharacterized. The record is from RefSeq and is a predicted model, not a curated record. Lineage: Eukaryota; Metazoa; Chordata; Actinopteri; Salmoniformes; Salmonidae. The transcript has 3 exons.
UGUUUUCAAAUACAAUCUAGGCCUCUGUAAUUUCAUUUAGCUUAGGCAUAAACAUUUGAAUUGGGCCCAAUAAAUAACAAAACAUGGCCGUCUACGAAGACCAGGGCCGGACGGUCAUGGCUAGAAAGGAUCCAGCUUUGGUCAAAUUAACGUCAGAUUUGACUUUUCCUAGCAGGUUAGAACUUACACAGCAGGUUAUGGUAAUUAACAUAGCAGGUUAGAACUUACACAGCAGGUUAUGGUAAUUAACAUAGCAGGUUAGAACUUACACAGCAGGUUAUGGUAAUUAACAUAGCAGGUUAGAACUUACACAGCAGGUUAUGGUAAUUAACAUAGCAGGUUAGAACUUACACAGCAGGUUAUGGUAAUUAACAUAGCAGGUUAGAACUUACACAGCAGGUUAUGGUAAUUAACAUAGCAGGUUAGAACUUACACAGCAGGUUAUGGUAAUUAACAUAGCAGGUUAGAACUUACACAGCAGGUUAUGGUAAUUAACAUAGCAGGUUAGAACUUACACAGCAGGUUAUGGUAAUUAACAUAGCAGGUUAGAACUUACACAGCAGGUUAUGGUAAUUAACAUAGCAGGUUAGAACUUACACAGCAGGUUAUGGUAAUUAACAUAGCAGGUUAGAACUUACACAGCAGGUUAUGGUAAUUAACAUAGCAGGUUAGAACUUACACAGCAGGUUAUGGUAAUUAACAUAGCAGGUUAGAACUUACACAGCAGGUUAUGGUAAUUAACAUAGCAGGUUAGAACUUACACAGCAGGUUAUGGUAAUUAACAUAGCAGGUUAGAACUUACACAGCAGGUUAUGGUAAUUAACAUAGCAGGUUAGAACUUACACAGCAGGUUAUGGUAAUUAACAUAGCAGGUUAGAACUUACACAGCAGGUUAUGGUAAUUAACAUAGCAGGUUAGUAGAAUUAGGUUAAGGUUAGGCAAAGGGUUACAGUUAGCUAAAAUGCAAAAAAUAUAUUUAGUUAAUUUGACAAAAGCUGGAACC